AUUGAACGUUGGCGGCAGGCCUAAAACAUGCAAGUCGAACGGUAACAGCGGGAGCUUGCUCCCGGCUGACGAGUGGCGGACGGGUGAGUAACACGUAGGAAUCUGCCCAGUAGUGGGGGACAACCCGGGGAAACCCGGGCUAAUACCGCAUACGCUCUACUGAGGAAAGCGGGGGAUCUUCGGACCUCGCGCUAUUGGAGGAGCCUGCGUCGGAUUAGCUAGUUGGUGGGGUAAAGGCCUACCAAGGCGACGAUCCGUAGCUGGUCUGAGAGGACGAUCAGCCACACUGGAACUGAGACACGGUCCAGACUCCUACGGGAGGCAG
RNAcentral lists this ribosomal RNA (325 nucleotides) under uncultured Pseudomonadota bacterium. RNAcentral's name for it is "bacterial SSU rRNA". It matches the Rfam family "Bacterial small subunit ribosomal RNA", at positions 30 to 351 of the family's 1533-position model. Lineage: Bacteria; Pseudomonadati; Pseudomonadota. The record is from RNAcentral.